GUCUACGGCCAUACCACCCUGAACGCGUCCAAUCUUGUCUGAUCUCGGAAGCUAAGCAGGGUCGGGCCUGGUUAGUACUUGGAUGGCAGAUGGGAAUACCAGACAACCUGACC
This 113-nucleotide ribosomal RNA is filed under the name Bos taurus (domestic cattle). The record is from RNAcentral. Lineage: Eukaryota; Metazoa; Chordata; Mammalia; Artiodactyla; Bovidae. RNAcentral also lists the same sequence under 1 other name.